Peromyscus leucopus (white-footed mouse) is the source of this 381-nucleotide long non-coding RNA. RefSeq lists it as uncharacterized. The transcript is spliced from 2 exons. The record is from RefSeq and is a predicted model, not a curated record. Lineage: Eukaryota; Metazoa; Chordata; Mammalia; Rodentia; Cricetidae.
GCUUUGGGGCGUGGGCUGAGCUGGGGGUAGGGCCCGGGGAUCACCAGGGGCUUCCCGAGGCUCCGCACACGCAGGGAAUUGAGGACCAAGUCCUACCGGGAGCGGGCUCCUGGGGGUUUCCACUGUGUCAGUAAACAAGCCUCAACAGCCAAGUUCCUCCUCUAGGUUCUCUGAGAGAGGGCGAGGUUCCGGGUGUGAGUGGGAGCACGGAGGAGACAAGGAGCCCGAGGGAGUCAUCCAGCGGCACUGUGAGCCUAAGGAACACUUCUCCAGGCAGUGAGUCCGGACGCUUGCUGGGCACUUCUCUGUUUCCUGCCUCCAAAGGAUACUCUUUGGUGCCUGGUCUCUAGGAUCUUUGAAACAAGUUUUCUUUAUAUUUUG